Molecule: ribosomal RNA, 253 nt
Filed under: uncultured prokaryote
Description: partial 16S ribosomal RNA
Rfam family: Bacterial small subunit ribosomal RNA
Source: RNAcentral
UACGUAGGUGGCAAGCGUUGUCCGGAUUUAUUGGGUUUAAAGGGUGCGUAGGCGGCUUAAUAAGUCAGUGGUGAAAGCCGAUCGCUUAACGAUCGAACUGCCAUUGAUACUGCUAGACUUGAAUUACUAGGAAGUAACUAGAAUAUGUAGUGUAGCGGUGAAAUGCUUAGAGAUUACAUGGAAUACCAAUUGCGAAGGCAGGUUACUACUAGUGGAUUGACGCUGAUGGACGAAAGCGUGGGGAGCGAGCAGG